RNAcentral lists this ribosomal RNA (867 nucleotides) under uncultured bacterium. Its description in RNAcentral is "bacterial SSU rRNA". It matches the Rfam family "Bacterial small subunit ribosomal RNA", at positions 9 to 873 of the family's 1533-position model. The record is from RNAcentral.
GGCUUAGAGUUUGAUCAUGGCUCAGGACGAACGCUGGCGGUAUGCCUAACACAUGCAAGUCGAACGAGGUUCUUCGGAACCUAGUGGCGAACGGGUGAGUAACACGUGAGCAACCUGCCUUACACUUUCGGAUACCUACGGGAAACUGUAGUUAAUACGGUAUAAGACCACGCUGUCGCAUGACAGAGGGGUAAAAGAUUUAUCGGUGUAAGAUGGGCUCGCGUCGCAUUAGCUAGUUGGUGGGGUAACGGCUCACCAAGGCGACGAUGCGUAGCCGACCUGAGAGGGUGAUCGGCCACACUGGGACUGAGAUACGGCCCAGACUCCUACGGGAGGCAGCAGUGGGGAAUAUUGGGCAAUGGGCGAAAGCCUUACCCAGCAAUACCGCGUGAGGGAAGGAGGUCUUCGGAUUGUAAACCUCUUUGAUCAGGGACGAAGAAAGUGACGGUACCUGAAGAACAAGCCCCGGCUAACUACGUGCCAGCAGCCGCGGUAAUACGUAGGGGGCGGGCGUUGUCCGGAAUGACUGGGCGUAAAGGGUGCGUANGCGGCUAAGCAAGUUAGAAGUGAAAUACCUAGGGCUUAACUCAGUGCUGCUUUUAAAACUGUUUGGCUGGAGUGCAGGAGAGGUUAAUGGAAUUCCUAGUGUAGCGGUGGAAUGCGUAGAUAUUAGGAGGAACACCAGAGCGAAGCGAUUAACUGGACUGUAACUGACGCUGAGGCACGAAAGUGUGGGGAGCAAACAGAUUAGAUACCCUGUAGUCCCCACUGUAAACGAUGGAUACUGGAUGUAAGAAGUAUCGACUUCCUCUGCAUCGUAGUAACANGAUAAGUAUCCCGCCUNNAGUACGGCNNNNGUUGAAACUC